Molecule: ribosomal RNA, 253 nt
Filed under: uncultured bacterium
Lineage: Bacteria
Description: partial 16S ribosomal RNA
Rfam family: Bacterial small subunit ribosomal RNA
Source: RNAcentral
UACGUAGGGUGCGAGCGUUAAUCGGAAUUACUGGGCGUAAAGUGUGCGCAGGCGGCCGAGCAUGUCGAGUGUGAAAGCCCCCGGCUCAACUGGGGAGGGUCAUUCGAUACUGUUCGACUCGAAGGCAGGAGAGGGAAGCGGAAUUCCCGGUGUAGUGGUGAAAUGCGUAGAUAUCGGGAGGAACACCAGUGGCGAAGGCGGCUUUCUGGCCUGUUCUUGACGCUGAGGCGCGAAAGCUAGGGGAGCGAACGGG